This 465-nucleotide ribosomal RNA is filed under the name Vreelandella stevensii. RNAcentral's name for it is "partial 16S ribosomal RNA". It matches the Rfam family "Bacterial small subunit ribosomal RNA", at positions 338 to 795 of the family's 1533-position model. The record is from RNAcentral. Lineage: Bacteria; Pseudomonadati; Pseudomonadota; Gammaproteobacteria; Oceanospirillales; Halomonadaceae.
CCUACGGGUGGCUGCAGUGGGGAAUAUUGGACAAUGGGCGAAAGCCUGAUCCAGCCAUGCCGCGUGUGUGAAGAAGGCCUUCGGGUUGUAAAGCACUUUCAGUGGGGAAGAAAGCCUUGGGGCUAAUACCCUCGAGGAAGGACAUCACCCACAGAAGAAGCACCGGCUAACUCCGUGCCAGCAGCCGCGGUAAUACGGAGGGUGCGAGCGUUAAUCGGAAUUACUGGGCGUAAAGCGCGCGUAGGCGGUCUGAUAAGCCGGUUGUGAAAGCCCCGGGCUCAACCUGGGAACGGCAUCCGGAACUGUCAGGCUAGAGGGCAGGAGAGGAAGGGAGAAUUCCCGGUGUAGCGGUGAAAUGCGGAGAGAUCGGGAGGAAUACCAGUGGCGAAGGCGGCCUUCUGGACUGACACUGACGCUGAGGUGCGAAAGCGUGGGUAGCAAACAGGAUUAGAUACCCUAGUAGUC